GACGAACGCUGGCGGCGUGCUUAACACAUGCAAGUCGAACGGAAAGGCCCUGCUUUUGUGGGGUGCUCGAGUGGCGAACGGGUGAGUAACACGUGAGUAACCUGCCCUUGACUUUGGGAUAACUUCAGGAAACUGGGGCUAAUACCGGAUAGGAGCUCCUGCUGCAUGGUGGUGGUUGGAAAGUGUCGGCGGUUGGGGAUGGACUCGCGGCUUAUCAGCUUGUUGGUGGGGUAGUGGCUUACCAAGGCUUUGACGGGUAGCCGGCCUGAGAGGGUGACCGGCCACAUUGGGACUGAGAUACGGCCCAGACUCCUACGGGAGGCAGCAGUGGGGAAUAUUGCACAAUGGGCGGAAGCCUGAUGCAGCAACGCCGCGUGCGGGAUGACGGCCUUCGGGUUGUAAACCGCUUUCGCCUGUGACGAAGCGUGAGUGACGGUAAUGGGUAAAGAAGCACCGGCUAACUACGUG
Molecule: ribosomal RNA, 468 nt
Filed under: uncultured bacterium
Lineage: Bacteria
Description: partial 16S ribosomal RNA
Rfam family: Bacterial small subunit ribosomal RNA
Source: RNAcentral